GAUGAACGCUGGCGGCGUGCCUAAUACAUGCAAGUCGAGCGAACGGACGAGAAGCUUGCUUCUCUGAUGUUAGCGGCGGACGGGUGAGUAACACGUGGAUAACCUACCUAUAAGACUGGGAUAACUUCGGGAAACCGGAGCUAAUACCGGAUAAUAUUUUGAACCGCAUGGUUCAAAAGUGAAAGACGGUCUUGCUGUCACUUAUAGAUGGAUCCGCGCUGCAUUAGCUAGUUGGUAAGGUAACGGCUUACCAAGGCAACGAUGCAUAGCCGACCUGAGAGUGGACUAGGCAGAAGUGGAAGGUAGACACGGAACGGACUCCAAGGGAGGGCGGCAGGGGGGAUGAUUGAGCAGGGGGCGAAAGCCGAACGACGCAGCGCGGGGUGAGUGAGAAGGGUCUACGGAUCGUAAAACUUUUUGAUUGGGGAAAAACAUAUGGGAAAGAAACUGUGCGACUCUUGAGGGUACUUAAGAAGAAAGCACGGGCUAACAAGGG
Molecule: ribosomal RNA, 496 nt
Filed under: uncultured bacterium
Lineage: Bacteria
Description: partial 16S ribosomal RNA
Rfam family: Bacterial small subunit ribosomal RNA
Source: RNAcentral